This 72-nucleotide transfer RNA is filed under the name Capra hircus (goat). It matches the Rfam family "tRNA". Rfam says of the family: Transfer RNA (tRNA) molecules are approximately 80 nucleotides in length. RNAcentral also lists the same sequence under 4 other names. The record is from Rfam by way of RNAcentral. Lineage: Eukaryota; Metazoa; Chordata; Mammalia; Artiodactyla; Bovidae.
UCCCUCAUAGCUCAGUUGGUAAAUCAUCUGCCUGCAAUGCAGGAGACCCAGGUUUGAUUCCUGGGUUGGGAA